This 553-nucleotide ribosomal RNA is filed under the name Niallia circulans. RNAcentral describes it as "bacterial SSU rRNA". It matches the Rfam family "Bacterial small subunit ribosomal RNA", at positions 111 to 650 of the family's 1533-position model. Lineage: Bacteria; Bacillati; Bacillota; Bacilli; Caryophanales; Bacillaceae. The record is from RNAcentral.
UAACACGUGGGCAACCUGCCUGUAAGACUGGGAUAACUUCGGGAAACCGGAGCUAAUACCGGAUAAUCCUUUUCCUCUCAUGAGGAAAAGCUGAAAGACGGUUUACGCUGUCACUUACAGAUGGGCCCGCGGCGCAUUAGCUAGUUGGUGAGGUAACGGCUCACCAAGGCGACGAUGCGUAGCCGACCUGAGAGGGUGAUCGGCCACACUGGGACUGAGACACGGCCCAGACUCCUACGGGAGGCAGCAGUAGGGAAUCUUCCGCAAUGGACGAAAGUCUGACGGAGCAACGCCGCGUGAGUGAUGAAGGUUUUCGGAUCGUAAAACUCUGUUGUUAGGGAAGAACAAGUACAAGAGUAACUGCUUGUACCUUGACGGUACCUAACCAGAAAGCCACGGCUAACUACGUGCCAGCAGCCGCGGUAAUACGUAGGUGGCAAGCGUUGUCCGGAAUUAUUGGGCGUAAAGCGCGCGCAGGCGGUCCUUUAAGUCUGAUGUGAAAGCCCACGGCUCAACCGUGGAGGGUCAUUGGAAACUGGGGGACUUGAGUGCA